UGGGGAAUAUUGGACAAUGGGCGAAAGCCUGAUCCAGCCAUGCCGCGUGUGUGAAGAAGGUCUUCGGAUUGUAAAGCACUUUAAGUUGGGAGGAAGGGCAGUAAGCGAAUACCUUGCUGUUUUGACGUUACCGACAGAAUAAGCACCGGCUAACUCUGUGCCAGCAGCCGCGGUAAUACAGAGGGUGCAAGCGUUAAUCGGAAUUACUGGGCGUAAAGCGCGCGUAGGUGGUUCGUUAAGUUGAAUGUGAAAGCCCCGGGCGCAACCUGGGAACUGCAUCCAAAACUGGCGAGCUAGAGUAGGGCAGAGGGUGGUGGAAUUUCCGGUGUAGCGGUGAAAUGCGUAGAUAUAGGAAGGAACACCAGUGGCGAAGGCGACCACCUGGGCUCAUACUGACACUGAGGUGCGAAAGCGUGGGGAGCAAACAGG
Molecule: ribosomal RNA, 429 nt
Filed under: Pseudomonadota bacterium
Lineage: Bacteria; Pseudomonadati; Pseudomonadota
Description: Proteobacteria bacterium partial 16S ribosomal RNA
Rfam family: Bacterial small subunit ribosomal RNA
Source: RNAcentral